GACGAACGCUGGCGGCGUGCUUAACACAUGCAAGUCGAGCGGUAAGGCCCUUUCGGGGGUACGACGAGCGGCGAACGGGUGAGUAACACGUGGGUGACCUGCCCUCAGCUCUGGGAUAAGCCUGGGAAACCGGGUCUAAUACUGGAUAUGACUCCAUGACGCAUGUUGUGGGGUGGAAAGCCUUGUGCGGCUGAGGAUGGGCCCGCGGCCUAUCAACUUGUUGGUGGGGUGANCGGCCU
Molecule: ribosomal RNA, 239 nt
Filed under: uncultured bacterium
Lineage: Bacteria
Description: partial 16S ribosomal RNA
Rfam family: Bacterial small subunit ribosomal RNA
Source: RNAcentral